This 489-nucleotide ribosomal RNA is filed under the name uncultured bacterium. Its description in RNAcentral is "bacterial SSU rRNA". It matches the Rfam family "Bacterial small subunit ribosomal RNA", at positions 8 to 518 of the family's 1533-position model. The record is from RNAcentral.
AGGGUUCGAUUCUGGCUCAGGACGAACGCUGGCGGCGUGCUUCAUACAUGCAAGUCGAACGAGAAAUCUACUUCGGUAGAUGGAAAGUGGCGGACGGGUGAGUAAUAUGUAGAGAAUCUGCCCUAGAGAGGGGGGCAACCGUUGGAAACGACAGCUAAUACCCCAUAUGAGCGUACCUGAAAUGGUAUUCUUGAAAACUCCGGUGCUCUGGGAUGAGUCUGCAUCUGAUUAGCUAGUUGGGGGUGUAAUGGACCACCAAGGCGACGAUCAGUAGCUGGUUUGAGAGGAUGAUCAGCCACAAUGGGACUGAGACACGGCCCAUACUCCUACGGGAGGCAGCAGUAGGGAAUUUUGCGCAAUGGGCGAAAGCCUGACGCCAGCAACGCCGCGUGAUCGAGACGCUUUUCGGAGUGUAAAGAUCUGUCACAGGGGACGAACGAUGACGGUACCCUGAGAGGAAGCACCGGCUAACUCCGUGCCAGCCGCGGC